Lactuca sativa (garden lettuce) is the source of this 1982-nucleotide non-coding RNA. The record is from RefSeq and is a predicted model, not a curated record. NCBI's taxonomy places the organism in Eukaryota, Viridiplantae, Streptophyta, Magnoliopsida, Asterales, Asteraceae.
AGAAUCACUAUCUACUAUUGUCUUCCAUAACGUUCACUGAGAGAUGGGUUGAGAGCCUUUGAAGAUGAAAAUGAUUACGUAUGUUUUCUUGAUGUUGGAUAUGAGAAUGGGGGAAGGAUUAAUUUGUACAUUAAUCACUCUCGGGAGGUAGUUAUGGAGUGAAUUGAAGAAGAGAUAGCUAAAGAUGGAUUGUUGUUGGAUUAGGUGUCUAAGCCCAUAACUAUAAUUGGUAUGUACUUGAAUUGAUAUCAGCACAGUCCUUUUGGGUUGCCCUCAAACCUAGCAAUUGGACAAGGAAAUUAUGAAAGGUGAGAUAUUGAUUUAUUAUAAGAUUAAUAAAUUAAUAUAAAUGAUUUAUUAAUAUGUUAAAAGAUUAAUAUAUUAAUUAGAAAUCAUAAUGUUUAAUUAAUAGUUAGCCAGAAAUUAAUCAGAAUUAAUUUUAGGGUUAAAAGUAUUAAUUAUAAAGUGCAGGGACUAGUUUGCAAUUAUCAGAUAGUUGAGUGGAAGGCUCCAGAACCUCCUUGGAGGGAGGUGGACGAAAUAUAUAGGGGAAACCUUAAGGAUUUCGUCCAAGGGGCUUUGGAUAAGGCCUUUGGAUUAGCUUAGACCCCAAGCAAAGGAGUAUUAGGGUUUUUCCAAAACCCUAGAUCCCUCAGCUAUAUAAGGAGCCUCCCAGCUCUUAAAUUCGGCCACUCCUACCUUGGAAGAAACCCUAUGCCGAUUUUUGCAUACCCUACCCUCUCCCCUUCAAGUUUCCUUCUUGCUAGUUCUUGGGUGUGAUUCCAUUAGAGGCAUUACAUUUGUGGUGCUAGGCUUCUAAGAAGAUCAAGUUCAAGAGGAUUAUCAAUCGUUUACUACAACAAUUGAAAGAUGUCUACUCCUGGAAACACUUCUUCUUCAUCAUCCUCCAGCCACAACUUCUCUUUACUCUACAUUUGCUCCAAAGUCGUUAUGGAUGGCUCUAACUAUAAUGAUUGGAUGCGUAACAUCAAAAUGGUGCUUCGAUUUGAGGACAAAGAAUAUGUCCUUGAAAAGGAGCUCAAAGAACUUGAUGAAUCCAAAGCCACUCCCGAAGACUAUGUCGCUUACAAGAAGCACUAUGAUGAUGCUACCAAAGUGGCGUGCAUCAUGGUCGCAACCAUGUCCCCAAAACUGCAAAUGUACUAUGAGGACUACUGGCCUUUUGAGAUGAAAAAGGACCUUACGGAAAAGUACCAUAAGCGAGCUCGUCAAGAAAAGUUUGAAGUAGUCAAGUCACUCAUGGCUUGCAAGAUGAAAGAAGGGGAGUCGGUUGUAUCUCAUGUGCAAAGAAUGCAACGCUACAUAGAGCGUUUGGUCAAGCUCAACAUUCACUUUGAUGAGGAAUUGGCCAUUGACAUGGUCUUGAACUCAUUGCCCGAUUGUUAUGGUCAUUUUAUCCUAACUUACCAUUUGAACAACACUGAGCAAACACUGGCCCAAUUGCACAACUUGUUGCAGACUGCUGAAGCAGGGAUGAAGGGUAAAACUAUAACCUCCACUCCUGCAAGUGCUCCUAUCUUAGCUAUUGGACAGGGAAAGGGGAAAAAGAGGAAAGGUCCUCCUAAGCAAAAUUGGAAGGGAAAGGUCCAAGUUGGGUCAUCUAGCAGUGGCCCAAAGGCUAAUCCCAAUAUUGUCAUUCCCCAUGUUUCUGAUCCAAAGGAUGCUAUUUGCUUUUAAUGCAAUAAAAGGGCAUUGGAAGAGAACCUACCCACAAUAUCCGCAGGAUAUCAAAGAGGGCAAAGUGAGGCCAUCUUCGGCAGGGGCUAAAGGAAAGUGAGGAGAUAGAGCGAGGAAGGAUAAACUUGAUCAUGGGAAACAAGAAGUCUUCACUAGUGACCAAGAUCGGAGUUUAUCAACUUUUGCUUAGUAAUGAUGUUAGAUUAGAUUUAUUGAAUUGUUGCUAUUCGUCUGAGAUGACGAAAAACAUUAUUUCAUUUCAUGAAUUGUUUAGACAAGGUUUC